ACGGAAGGCAGCAGUGGGGAAUAUUGGGCAAUGGGCGAAAGCUUGACCCAGCAAUGCCGCGUGAAGGAAGAAGGUCUUCGGAUUGUAAACUUCUUUUAUGAGGGACGAAGGAAUUGACGGUACCUCAUGAAUAAGCCACGGCUAACUACGUGCCAGCAGCCGCGGUAAUACGUAGGUGGCAAGCGUUAUCCGGAUUUACUGGGUGUAAAGGGCGCGUAGGCGGGGAAGCAAGUCAGAUGUGAAAUCUAUGGGCUUAACUCAUAAACUGCAUUUGAAACUGUUUCUCUUGAGUGCUGGAGAGGUAGAUGGAAUUCCUAGUGUAGCGGUGAAAUGCGUAGAUAUUAGGAAGAACACCAGUGGCGAAGGCGAUCUACUGGACAGUAACUGACGCUGAGGCGCGAAAGCGUGGGGAGCAAACAGGAUUAGAUACCCUGGUA
This 437-nucleotide ribosomal RNA is filed under the name uncultured Oscillospiraceae bacterium. RNAcentral's name for it is "partial 16S ribosomal RNA". It matches the Rfam family "Bacterial small subunit ribosomal RNA", at positions 341 to 792 of the family's 1533-position model. Lineage: Bacteria; Bacillati; Bacillota; Clostridia; Eubacteriales; Oscillospiraceae. The record is from RNAcentral.